GCCGGUAUGAUGAAAGUGGUAAACAUGUAGGUUUGAAACGCUUAUGACAAUCGUCUUACGGGUUCGAAUCCCGUUACCGGCACCA
Molecule: transfer RNA, 85 nt
Filed under: Desulfovibrio sp. OttesenSCG-928-F07
Lineage: Bacteria; Pseudomonadati; Thermodesulfobacteriota; Desulfovibrionia; Desulfovibrionales; Desulfovibrionaceae
Description: tRNA-Phe
Rfam family: tRNA
About the family: Transfer RNA (tRNA) molecules are approximately 80 nucleotides in length. Their secondary structure includes four short double-helical elements and three loops (D, anti-codon, and T loops). Further hydrogen bonds mediate the characteristic L-shaped molecular structure. tRNAs have two regions of fundamental functional importance: the anti-codon, which is responsible for specific mRNA codon recognition, and the 3' end, to which the tRNAs corresponding amino acid is attached (by aminoacyl-tRNA synthetases). tRNAs cope with the degeneracy of the genetic code in two manners: having more than one tRNA (with a specific anti-codon) for a particular amino acid; and 'wobble' base-pairing, i.e. permitting non-standard base-pairing at the 3rd anti-codon position.
Source: RNAcentral